This is a long non-coding RNA of Nematolebias whitei (Rio pearlfish), 484 nucleotides long. RefSeq lists it as uncharacterized. The record is from RefSeq and is a predicted model, not a curated record. NCBI's taxonomy places the organism in Eukaryota, Metazoa, Chordata, Actinopteri, Cyprinodontiformes, Rivulidae. The transcript is spliced from 3 exons.
UCUUUCUUUCCUCACUAUGGUUCCUGUUUGUUAUCUUCUGGGUGGAAACAAUAAGUGUUUGGCUCUUUCUGUCCAUGUUUUACCAGGAUCGGGAAUUUUAUCAAUGGGGAGAUGGUGUGUUUGCAGAUGAUCCUGGUCAAGUAAUAUUCAGGUUACGCAGAUUGGACGGCCCUACAGAGACUGAGGUUCAGACCUAAUAUGAUUAAAACAUGCGCAGUCGAACAGAUGAAGAUGAACAGAUGAAGAACGCCUGUUCUUCUUUUGUGAUGUGCGCAGCCCUUUCUUUACUAGGAAGUGAAGAGGUGCAGUUUUUGUGAAAGUGCAAUUAUGACUAGAAGGACUUUUCUCUGUGCUUUAUGCACCCAGCACUUCCACUGCUUCAGAUUUUUUUCUGUCUGAAUUUGGAGGAGCAAAAUGAAUAUAAAUGAAAAUCCUGACUUCGUUCUAAUGAGCUUAGUGCAUCCGUUUUUUAAUUUAAUUUCUU